CGCUGGCAAGGUGGACUCGGUGUCCGCCGGCUCGUGCUGAAGAGCACCCGGAAGUGGUCGCUGAGGACCGCCAGCUCGAAGGCUCUGGGCCGCUGGCAAGGUGGACUCGGUGUCCGCCGGCUCGUGCUGAAGAGCACCCGGAAGUGGUCGCUGAGGACCGCCAGCUCGAAGGCUCUGGGCCGCUGGCAAGGUGGACUCGGUGUCCGCCGGCUCGUGCUGAAGAGCACCCGGAAGUGGUCGCUGAGGACCGCCAGCUCGAAGGCUCUGGGCCGCUGGCAAGGUGGACUCGGUGUCCGCCGGCUCGUGCUGAAGAGCACCCGGAAGUGGUCGCUGAGGACCGCCAGCUCGAAGGCUCUGGGCCGCUGGCAAGGUGGACUCGGUGUCCGCCGGCUCGUGCUGAAGAGCACCCGGAAGUGGUCGCUGAGGACCGCCAGCUCGAAGGCUCUGGGCCGCUGGCAAGGUG
Molecule: non-coding RNA, 463 nt
Organism: Lolium perenne
Lineage: Eukaryota; Viridiplantae; Streptophyta; Magnoliopsida; Poales; Poaceae
Source: RefSeq, a predicted model, not a curated record